Molecule: non-coding RNA, 45 nt
Filed under: Schistosoma margrebowiei
Lineage: Eukaryota; Metazoa; Platyhelminthes; Trematoda; Strigeidida; Schistosomatidae
Source: RNAcentral
AUCCAGCCGACGAGUUCCAAAUAGGACGAAAAGGGGUUCCUGGAU